GUGCAGCAGUCGCGAAUUUUCUCAAUGGGCGAAAGCCUGAAGGAGCGACGCCGCGUGGAGGAUGAAGGCUUUCGGGUUGUAAACUCCUGUCAUUUGAGAACAAGUGUAGCUAAGUAACUACUGGCUACUUGAUAGUAUCAGAAGAGGAAGGGACGGCUAACUCUGUGCCAGCAGCCGCGGUAAUACAGAGGUCCCAAGCGUUGUUCGGAUUCAUUGGGCGUAAAGGGUGCGUAGGUGGCGCCGUAAGUGGGGUGUGAAAUUUCGGAGCUUAACUUCGAAACUGCAUUCCAUACUGCGGUGCUUGAGGACUGGAGAGGAGACUGGAAUUCAUGGUGUAGCAGUGAAAUGCGUAGAGAUCAUGAGGAAGACCAGUGGCGAAGGCGGGUC
Molecule: ribosomal RNA, 387 nt
Filed under: uncultured organism
Description: bacterial SSU rRNA
Rfam family: Bacterial small subunit ribosomal RNA
Source: RNAcentral